CCUACGGGAGGCUGCAGUGAGGAAUAUUGCACAAUGGGGGGAACCUUGAUGCAGCCACACCGCGUGGGUGAGGAAGUACUACGGUAUGUAAAGCCCUGUCAGCAGGGAAGCAAAUGCUGGUACCUGACCAAGAAGCCCCGGCUAAAUACGUGCCAGCAGCCGCGGUAAUACGUAGGGGGCAAGCGUUAUCCGGAUUUACUGGGUGUAAAGGGAGCGUAGACGGCAAGGCAAGUCUGGAGUGAAAGCCCGUGGCCGAACCACGGGACUGCUGUGGAAACUGUGUUGCUGGAGUGCAGGAGGGGUAAGCGGAAUUCCUAGUGUAGCGGUGAAAUGCGUAGAUAUUAGGAGGAACACCGGUGGCGAAGGCGGCUUACUGGACUGUAACUGACGUUGAGGCUCGAAGGCGUGGGGAGCAAACAGGAUUAGAUACCCGUGUAGUC
RNAcentral lists this ribosomal RNA (440 nucleotides) under uncultured bacterium. Its description in RNAcentral is "partial 16S ribosomal RNA". It matches the Rfam family "Bacterial small subunit ribosomal RNA", at positions 338 to 795 of the family's 1533-position model. The record is from RNAcentral.